RNAcentral lists this ribosomal RNA (222 nucleotides) under uncultured bacterium. Its description in RNAcentral is "partial 16S ribosomal RNA". It matches the Rfam family "Bacterial small subunit ribosomal RNA", at positions 524 to 745 of the family's 1533-position model. The record is from RNAcentral.
UACGUAGGGGGCUAGCGUUGUCCGGAAUUAUUGGGCGUAAAGCGUCCGCAGGUGGUUAAUCAAGUCUGCUGUCAAAGCGCGAGGCUCAACUUCGUAAAGGCAGUGGAAACUGAUUGACUUGAGUUUGGUAGGGGUAGAGGGAAUUCCCAGUGUAGCGGUGAAAUGCGUAGAUAUCGUGAGGAACACCAGAGGCGAAGGCGGCUACCUGGACAAUUGCUGACG